GCCGCGAUGGGGAGAGGACGUGGGAAGCAAGUAUGAUCAGGGGACGGAAAGCCUGAGAGUUUUGCUGCCAUCAUCCUCCGCAGGCCAGGACAAGCUCUUGAGAGAGUCCGGAUCUCAAGAACUAUUUACCUGGAGCUGGCUUCAAACCAUGAUCCUCUUGAUCUCUGCCUCCUGAGUAGCUAUGGUUGCAGGCGUGAGCCCCCAGUGCCAGCUCAGAAGUGUUGAAUGGUUGAGGUGAAAAAUCUGGUUUGAAAUCUCCAUGGAGGACUACAGCAUUUCAAUUGUGAAUCUGAAUCAAUUUCCCAAUUGACUUACUACUGUAUUAAAAAUGCUUUAAUUAAUUACAGUAUUUGUUUUGAAAACCUUUGAAGUUUUAUAAGAACU
Molecule: non-coding RNA, 384 nt
Organism: Castor canadensis (American beaver)
Lineage: Eukaryota; Metazoa; Chordata; Mammalia; Rodentia; Castoridae
Source: RefSeq, a predicted model, not a curated record